GCUGAAACCCGCCUCCAUGAAGUUGGAUUCGCUAGUAAUCGCGCAUCAGCCAUGGCGCGGUGAAUACGUUCCCGGGCCCUUGUACACACCGCCCGUCAAGCCAUGGGAGCUGGGGGUGCCUGAAGUUCGUGACCGCAAGGAUCGACCUAGGGCAAAACCGGUGACUGGGGCUAAGUCGUAACAAGGUACC
RNAcentral lists this ribosomal RNA (190 nucleotides) under uncultured bacterium. RNAcentral describes it as "partial 16S ribosomal RNA". It matches the Rfam family "Bacterial small subunit ribosomal RNA", at positions 1304 to 1500 of the family's 1533-position model. The record is from RNAcentral.